Molecule: ribosomal RNA, 404 nt
Filed under: Escherichia coli
Lineage: Bacteria; Pseudomonadati; Pseudomonadota; Gammaproteobacteria; Enterobacterales; Enterobacteriaceae
Description: partial 23S ribosomal RNA
Rfam family: Bacterial large subunit ribosomal RNA
Source: RNAcentral
UGAAACCGUGUACGUACAAGCAGUGGGAGCACGCUUAGGCGUGUGACUGCGUACCUUUUGUAUAAUGGGUCAGCGACUUAUAUUCUGUAGCAAGGUUAACCGAAUAGGGGAGCCGAAGGGAAACCGAGUCUUAACUGGGCGUUAAGUUGCAGGGUAUAGACCCGAAACCCGGUGAUCUAGCCAUGGGCAGGUUGAAGGUUGGGUAACACUAACUGGAGGACCGAACCGACUAAUGUUGAAAAAUUAGCGGAUGACUUGUGGCUGGGGGUGAAAGGCCAAUCAAACCGGGAGAUAGCUGGUUCUCCCCGAAAGCUAUUUAGGUAGCGCCUCGUGAAUUCAUCUCCGGGGGUAGAGCACUGUUUCGGCAAGGGGGUCAUCCCGACUUACCAACCCGAUGCAAACUG